This 81-nucleotide transfer RNA is filed under the name Bacteroidales bacterium. RNAcentral describes it as "tRNA-Ser". It matches the Rfam family "tRNA". From Rfam's summary of the family: Transfer RNA (tRNA) molecules are approximately 80 nucleotides in length. Their secondary structure includes four short double-helical elements and three loops (D, anti-codon, and T loops). Further hydrogen bonds mediate the characteristic L-shaped molecular structure. tRNAs have two regions of fundamental functional importance: the anti-codon, which is responsible for specific mRNA codon recognition, and the 3' end, to which the tRNAs corresponding amino acid is attached (by aminoacyl-tRNA synthetases). tRNAs cope with the degeneracy of the genetic code in two manners: having more than one tRNA (with a specific anti-codon) for a particular amino acid; and 'wobble' base-pairing, i.e. permitting non-standard base-pairing at the 3rd anti-codon position. The record is from RNAcentral. Lineage: Bacteria; Pseudomonadati; Bacteroidota; Bacteroidia; Bacteroidales.
GGCUGGAUAUCGAAGUGGUUAACGAGGUAGAUUAGAAACCUACUGCCUUCGGGCGCGUGUGUUCAAAUCACACUCCAGUCG